Non-coding RNA from Thamnophis sirtalis, 1060 nucleotides. Lineage: Eukaryota; Metazoa; Chordata; Lepidosauria; Squamata; Natricidae. The record is from RefSeq and is a predicted model, not a curated record.
AGUAGAAUAAUAGAACGUGUGGCAGGCCAAAGAUCCAAAAGAAAAGAUGGCUGCAGGCCUGACACUUGUGAGAUUUUGAUUUGGAUUAGGAUAGUAUGAAGCAGCCAUAAUGCUAUUUUUUAAAUUAACAAUAUAAGCUAUUCAUCACUGAAUUAAAGGGCCAUGCUUUUAAUGUGUGUGUGUGUGUGGAGGGGGGGGAUUUUAGAACAAAGCUACUGGCAUUUCCCAAUUUACCUAUUCUUUUCAUGAUGUAUUUCUGUACCUCUAGGUGGUCGUGUCUAUCCUGUGUCAGUGCCAUACUCUAGUGCUCAGAGCACAAGCAAGACCAGUGUGACUUUAUCACUUGUGAUGCCUUCUCAAGGUCAGAUGGUCAAUGGUGCCCACAGUAGCUCUACGUUGGAUGAAGUCACACCCACUCUUACCAAUCAAAGUCCUACUGUGACUCUUCAGUCUACUAACACUCAUACCCAGAGUAGCAGCUCAAGCUCAGAUGGAGGCCUUUUCCGUUCUCGUCCUUCUCAUUCUCUCAGGCCGGAUGAAGAUGGGCGCGUUGAAUCCUAUGUAGACUUUGCAGAGUUUUACCGCCUUUGGAAUAUGGACCACAGUGAACAGGGGAUACUCACUGUGUAACAAUGCAUGGAGAGUAACCCCUGUGAAGUCCCAUCAGACAGUAGGUUGCAAUUCAUCUCUUGGCUGACAACAUUUUUCUACAAAGCAUGAUCUUUUGGAGACUUCGGGACAAAUUGCUAAUGUGAUGAUUCUCAUCAACUUGUUGAGCAUAUUUACUCCUAUUGAAUUCUUUUCUAAUGGUCUCUUCCACUGUGAAAUCUUGUGGCAUUCGAGAGGGUUGCAAACCCUUUUACUGCAUGGCUGUAGAAGAAGAAGAAUAGUCAGCAGCCAGACUCCUCUUAUGGAUAGGUCCACAGCAAGUACCUGUCAAGAGUGUGUGUGUAUGUAUAUAUGUAUGUGUGUGCAUCUUGUUGAAGGCAUAAAUCUGGGAAUACUUAUGAUAUCAAAGAUACCUCUGAUUUGCAAAAUAAAUGCUAACUUAUAGUUACUA